AAUAGCAUAAUCUAAUAAAGAUAUUUCAAUGAUGAAGAAAAUAUAGAUUAUUCUUGUUAUUA
RNAcentral lists this transfer RNA (62 nucleotides) under Metacrangonyx sp. n. DJ2019. RNAcentral describes it as "tRNA-Ile". The record is from RNAcentral. Lineage: Eukaryota; Metazoa; Arthropoda; Malacostraca; Amphipoda; Metacrangonyctidae.